This 261-nucleotide ribosomal RNA is filed under the name uncultured archaeon. Its description in RNAcentral is "partial 16S ribosomal RNA". It matches the Rfam family "Archaeal small subunit ribosomal RNA", at positions 748 to 1009 of the family's 1478-position model. The record is from RNAcentral.
CAGCCGUAAACUAUGCUCGCUAGGUGUCAGGCAUGGCGCGACCGUGUCUGGUGCCGCAGGGAAGCCGUGAAGCGAGCCACCUGGGAAGUACGGCCGCAAGGCUGAAACUUAAAGGAAUUGGCGGGGGAGCACAACAACGGGUGGAGCCUGCGGUUUAAUUGGACUCAACGCCGGGAAGCUCACCGGAUAAGACGGCGGAAUGAUUGCCGGGCUGAAGACUCUGCAUGACUAGCUGAGAGGUGGUGCAUGGCGUAGACGUCU